GUGCCAGCAGCCGCGGUAAGACGAAGGGCGCAAGCGUUAUCCGGAAUUACUGGGCGUAAAGGGCGUCUAGGCUGCCCGUCAAGUCGACGUUGAAAUUCCUCGGCUAAACUGAGGGAGGUACGUCGAAACUGGCAGGCUAGAGGGACGUAGAGGUAAGCGGAACUCUCGGAGUAGCGGGUAAAUGCGUAGAGACCGAGAGGUACCCCGAUGGUGAAGACAGCUUACUGGGCGUCUCCUGACGCUGAAGCGCUAAGGCCAGGGGAGCAAAGGGGAUUAGAUACCCCCGUAGUCCUGGCUUCAAACGAUGUGGGCUUGGUGUCGGCCCCCUAUAGAGGGUCGUUGCCGGAGUUAACGCGUUAAGCCCACCGCCUGGGGAUUACGUCCGCAAGGAUGAAACUCAAGGGAAUUGACGGGGGCCC
RNAcentral lists this ribosomal RNA (419 nucleotides) under uncultured KB1 group bacterium. Its description in RNAcentral is "bacterial SSU rRNA". It matches the Rfam family "Bacterial small subunit ribosomal RNA", at positions 505 to 922 of the family's 1533-position model. The record is from RNAcentral. Lineage: Bacteria; Candidatus Calescibacteriota.